This 468-nucleotide ribosomal RNA is filed under the name uncultured bacterium. Its description in RNAcentral is "partial 16S ribosomal RNA". It matches the Rfam family "Bacterial small subunit ribosomal RNA", at positions 28 to 507 of the family's 1533-position model. The record is from RNAcentral.
GACGAACGCUGGCGGCGUGCUUAACACAUGCAAGUCGAACGGAAAGGCCCUGCUCUUGUGGGGUGCUCGAGUGGCGAACGGGUGAGUAACACGUGAGUAACCUGCCCUUGACUUUGGGAUAACUUCAGGAAACUGGGGCUAUUACCGCAUAGGAGCUCCUGCUGCACGGUGGGGGUCGGAAAGUUUCGGGGGUUGGGGAUGGACUCGCGGGUUAUCAGCUUGUUUGGGGGGUAGUGGCUUACCAAGGCUUUGACGGGUAGCGGGCCUGAGAGGGUGACCGGCGACAUUGGGUCUGAGGUACGGCCGAGGCUCCUACGGUAGGCAGAAGGGGGGAAUAUUGCAGGAUGGGCGGAAGCCUGAUGCAGCAGCGCCGCGUGCGGGAUGACGGUCUUCGGGGUGAAAACCACUUUCGCCAGUAACGAAGCGUGAGUGACGGUAAUGGGUAAAGAAGCACCGGCUAACUACGGU